UCUCCGUUGGUGAACCAGCGGAGGGAUCAUUACAGGACUCGCAAGACUCCUUCACCCUGUGAACCUCACUACAAGCACGUUGCUUCGGCGGGUGUCCCGGCGGGGGUUUUCCCUCGCCGGGGCGCACAGCACGCCGGCAGCCUACUAUACUCUGUCUCUUUGCGUUGGCAUCUCGAGAAAAAACAAACAAGUUAAAACUUUCAACAACGGAUCUCUUGGUUCUG
Molecule: unclassified non-coding RNA, 224 nt
Filed under: plant metagenome
Description: partial contains small subunit ribosomal RNA, internal transcribed spacer 1, and 5.8S ribosomal RNA
Source: RNAcentral